UACGUAGGGUGCAAGCGUUGUCCGGAAUUAUUGGGCGUAAAGAGCUCGUAGGCGGUCUGUCGCGUCGGCUGUGAAAACUCGGGGCUCAACCCCGAGCCUGCAGUCGAUACGGGCAGACUAGAGUGCUGUAGGGGAGACUGGAAUUCCUGGUGUAGCGGUGAAAUGCGCAGAUAUCAGGAGGAACACCGGUGGCGAAGGCGGGUCUCUGGGCAACAACUGACGCUGAGGAGCGAAAGCGUGGGGAGCGAACAGG
RNAcentral lists this ribosomal RNA (253 nucleotides) under uncultured bacterium. RNAcentral's name for it is "partial 16S ribosomal RNA". It matches the Rfam family "Bacterial small subunit ribosomal RNA", at positions 524 to 776 of the family's 1533-position model. The record is from RNAcentral.